GACCAAAGGGGGCGAGCGAAAGCGGCUCCCGCUGAAGGAUGGGCCUGCGGCUGAUUAGCUAGUUGGUGGGGUAGCGGCCUACCAAGGCGACGAUCAGUAGCCGACCUGAGAGGGUGACCGGCCACACUGGGACUGAGACACGGCCCAGACUCCUACGGGAGGCAGCAGUGGGGAAUAUUGCGCAAUGGGCGAAAGCCUGACGCAGCGACGCCGCGUGGGUGAUGAAGGCCUUCGGGUCGUAAAACCCUGUCGGGUGGAACGAAUUCCGCCUCGCUAAUACCGAGGCGGCUUGACGGUACCACCGAAGGAAGCCCCGGCUAACUACGUGCCAGCAGCCGCGGUAAUACGUAGGGGGCGAGCGUUGUUCGGAUUUACUGGGCGUAAAGAGCGCGUAGGCGGUUCGAUAAGUCGGAGGUGAAAUCCCUCGGCUCAACCGAGGACCCGCGUCCGAUACUGUCGAACUUGAGUGCAGGAGAGGAGAGCGGAAUUCCCAAUGUAGCGGUGAAAUGCGUAGAUAUUGGGAGGAACACCGGUGGCGAAGGCGGCUCUCUGGACUGUCACUGACGCUGAGGCGCGAAAGCUAGGGGAGCAAACGGGAUUAGAUACCCCGGUAGUCCUAGCCGUAAACGAUGGGCACUAGGUGUGGGAGGUAUCGACCCCUUCCGUGCCGCAGCUAACGCAUUAAGUGCCCCGCCUGGGGAGUACGGCCGCAAGGCUGAAACUCAAAGGAAUUGACGGGGGCCCGCACAAGCGGUAGAGCAUGUGGUUUAAUUCGACGCAACGCGAAGAACCUUACCAGGGCUUGACAUCCCGCGAACCC
This 820-nucleotide ribosomal RNA is filed under the name uncultured Methylomirabilota bacterium. RNAcentral's name for it is "bacterial SSU rRNA". It matches the Rfam family "Bacterial small subunit ribosomal RNA", at positions 199 to 998 of the family's 1533-position model. Lineage: Bacteria; Methylomirabilota (SeqCode). The record is from RNAcentral.